AAUUUAUGAGGCAUUAGCUCUGAAGGCCAUGUUAAUAAUUCCCUGUGUUAAAUUCCUGACUUUAUUGAUGAGGAAAGAGGAUCAGAGAAAGUGAAGGACUCACCUAUAGUUACCAGUGCAUAAAUGGAAGAGCUAUGUUUGUAUCCAGGCUUUACUUCAAAUCUGGCCCUCUGUCCAUUGCAUCAGAACCCAUGAACUGACCCAAUUCAAACAACUCUCAUUUAGUUCCAUAUGGUGUUACAUGUGAUCUAUUUUUUAAGCAGACUAUGAUACAAUAAAAAUGCUGAUUCCAAAUAAUAUGUCUUACAAAGUAGCAUCCUUUCCAGAAGAGAAUGCCUCUCUCUCCACAGUAUCAAACAGCUUCUGGUGGAGCUUCCACAGUAAGUGUGACCUCUGGAGACACAACAUAGAGUCUGCUGGCUAGAGAAGAUAUAGGAUCCUAAAACUCUUAUUAUCUGUGACUGUGAGAGACUUGAAACUUCUCCUUCACCUAAGAUUCUUUUCCAACCUCGUAAGUACUUGACUAAGAUAUAUUUGUGUGAUGACUUUGUCCAGCUGAAGUAAUCUAAAAACCUUGAUGGGCUGGAAAUGGUGAAUUUUUCUUCUGUUGGUGACUAAUGCAGUGAGCAGGCAGUUUUUCUAGUUCUUUUAAGGCAGCAUCAGCCUAAAAGGUCACGGACAGGCAUUAGCAAUGCGAGAGUACACAGAAGUUAAUUUCAAAACAAAUAAAGUGGAUGGAGCAAUUCAACAACUGUGCAUUCUGAAAUGCAAGUAAAUGACUUAUAUGCUCAAGUGAUUUGAAGCAUAAGUAUUGAUGACUUGUGUGGCUUUUAACCAUAUCUGGGAAACUCUCAUACCCUCAUUGCCUUUGCUUGGAGGAUGUCCCUGCUGGUCCUGGCAGCCCUCACACUGCGCAGUCUUUCCACACACUACAGCCCAAGGAGUCAUCUGCUUGUGGUUUGGUAGCUUCAACCUUGUUCUCUACAACCAUCCCCCAUGCCGGUUCUCAGCUCAGAAAACUUCAAUGACUUCCAUUAUCCGCUGAAGUUUUAACUUUUACAUACAAACCUGAAUGGAAACAUUCAGGUUUUCCAGGAUAUGGCCUUUGCUGUCAUUUCCUCCUUGUUAUCCUUUCUCCCUCCCUCCAUAUUUUCCACAAAUGAUUUGGAAAUACUGUAAAAACCUCUAUAUUAAGUGCUGGGGAUAUAUUGAUGAUCAAGCUGCCUUUGUAAAGUGUGCAGAUAAAAGAGAGAUCCACAGAGAAGUAAUUCAAGUCAAGCAGGAUGAGUGAUUUGGUAGGGCAGUGUCGGGGCAACAGGAGGAUGCACAGGGAACUUCAACAAAUUGACCAGGCUGAUUUCUCUGAAGAAGGAACACGUCAGUGGAAAUGUGUGAAAACUGAUCAACAGAAGAAGGGGCUUGAUCUACUUUCCGUCUUAGAAUGUGUGCUCAGGUUGCGGUGUGUACGGUGUGGAUAAAUGAUUUGGGCCAGUGGCUUUCAAACUUGAGUGUGAGUCAGAAUCUUCCAGAGGGCUUUGUAGAACACCACUGCAGGACUCCCUCUCCUAGUAGGUUUGGGGGAGACCCUGAGAAUCUCCAUUUUUUUUUUUGAGACGGGGUUUCACUCUUGUGGCCCAGGCUGGAGUGCAGUGCUGCCGUCUUGGCUCACCGCAAGCUCCGCUUCCCGGGUUCAAGCGAUUCUCCUGCCUCAGCCUCCCACGUAGCUGGGAUUACAGGGGCCCGCCACCAUGCCUGGCUAAUUUUUUGUAUUUUUUAGUAGAGACGGGGUUUGGCCAUGUUGGGCAGGCUGCUCUCCUGACCUCAGGUGAUCCGCCCGCCUCAGCCUCCCAAAGUGCUGGGAUUACAGGCGUGAGCCACCGUGCCCGGCCGAGAAUCUGCAUUUUUAACAAGCUCCCAGGAGAAGCUGAAGCUGCUGAUCCUGGGACUGCACUUAGAGAACCACGGUUCUGAGGUAAGCAAGACUAGAGGCUGCGGGGCCUCGCAGCCCAGGUGUGCAACAAGGGUGACCUAGACUGUAGGCAAGGCAGAGGUGGUAGAGAGGAGAGGCCUGAGAAGGAUAUGGGAAUCAGACACGCCUAGAUUUGGGCGUGGUAUGAGACGGAUGGAAUGUGGAGGUGACGGGGAGGAAGGAGUCAAGGACGGCAACCAAUUUUUGCCAUAAGACCUUGGGUGGAAGGAAUACUGUUUACUGAGAUAAAAAAAAAUCCAAGAGUAGAAGCACAACUAAGCAGAAGGCGCGAAGUUCAUUUUGGGGUAGAAUAUGCUGCUUUAGUUAAGAAUAUAGGCUCUGAAGUUAGAUUUCCUGGGUCUGAGCAUUAGCUUUGCUUCUUCCCAGCUGAAUAACUUCAAGCAAUUUUCACAACCUUACUGCACAUAGUUGCUUCAUUUUAACAUUGCGACAAAAAUAGUACCCAUCUCAUAAGGUUGUGGCAAGGAUUGAAUAAGACACUAUAUAAAAAAUAUUUGCAACCCUGUCUGGCAUACAGUUUGUACUCAAUAUUAACCAUUAUGAAUAAUUGCCUUCACAUACACUGGCUUUUUCCAAACUGAUUGCAUCACUCCUUGGAGGCUGCUCAGGCCGUGCUUUUCUAUUUUUGUUGCUUUGCUUAUUGCGGCUCCUUUGUCUAGAAUUUGUUUCUACCAUUCCUACUUAUCUCUGUAUGAAGUCAUGCUUGUCCUCAGAGUCCAAAUAAAUGCCGCUUCCUCCAGUUGCCUUCCCAGUUGCCCCCCACCUCGCUCAGUGAUCUCUUCGUUCUCAGCUCUUACCACCAUCAUUAUAAUUUCAUUUUAAAUCAAAGUACUUUUAACCUGUGUUUUAAUUACUUCUACACGCCUCCCUUCCCAACACUGGCAAUGAUGGGUUCUAUUGUGUUUUGUGGCUUUCAUUUACACACUAGUGCACUGUUGAGUGAACUCGGAAGUUAGUUUAUAAACAUUGUAGUUAGCUGCUGGUCCUAAUUUUCACGUUUAUUUGGAUUUGGAGUUGGGAAUAUUGUUAUGAUUUUCUUUGUGCUUAAUAAAUCACAUCUGCAUCCACAGAGGAGGGUUUAUUUGUGGCUUAUUAAUUAAAUAGUAAUUCAUCAUAUGAACAAAUGCUCUAUUGUAUUGUUUUCCUCUCCUUAGGGAAAACCAUUUUGCCGCAAAUUAGAAUAUUUGAAAUCAAUACUGC
RNAcentral lists this long non-coding RNA (3190 nucleotides) under Homo sapiens (human). Its description in RNAcentral is "HSALNT0137682". Lineage: Eukaryota; Metazoa; Chordata; Mammalia; Primates; Hominidae. The record is from RNAcentral.